ACGGAGGGUGCAAGCGUUAAUCGGAAUCACUGGGCGUAAAGCGCACGUAGGCUGUUAUGUAAGUCAGGGGUGAAAUCCCACGGCUCAACCGUGGAACUGCCCUUGAUACUGCACGACUUGAAUCCGGGAGAGGGUGGCGGAAUUCCAGGUGUAGGAGUGAAAUCCGUAGAUAUCUGGAGGAACAUCAGUAGCGAAGGCGGCCACCUGGACCGGUAUUGACGCUGAGGUGCGAAAGCGUGGGGAGCAAACAG
Molecule: ribosomal RNA, 251 nt
Filed under: uncultured bacterium
Lineage: Bacteria
Description: partial 16S ribosomal RNA
Rfam family: Bacterial small subunit ribosomal RNA
Source: RNAcentral